AGGGGACCCAAGAGAUGGAAUCCGUAGAAGUGAGGUCUGUUGGAUCUUGGUUGAGUUUAUGCCUGGAUGACCUGUCUUUUGCCUAACUAGCAGAUUAUGAAGAGGAGUGAUGGGAGAUUGGAAGAAUAAAGACUCACAUACRCAGAUCUUGAAGAUGAACAGCUGGGAUCUGGUGGAGCGCCGCUCUCUGAUGGAG
Molecule: non-coding RNA, 196 nt
Organism: Urocitellus parryii (Arctic ground squirrel)
Lineage: Eukaryota; Metazoa; Chordata; Mammalia; Rodentia; Sciuridae
Source: RefSeq, a predicted model, not a curated record